UUGCCCCUACGGGAGGCAGCAGUGGGGAAUAUUGCACAAUGGGGGAAACCCUGAUGCAGCAACGCCGCGUGAGUGAAGAAGGAUUUCGGUAUGUAAAGCUCUAUCAGCAGGGAAGAAGAUGACGGUACCUGAUUAAGAAGCACCGGCUAACUACGUGCCAGCAGACGCGGUAAUACGUAGGGGGCAAGCGUUAUCCGGAUUUACUGGGUGUAAACGGAGCGUAGACGGCAUAGCAAGUCUGCA
This 243-nucleotide ribosomal RNA is filed under the name uncultured bacterium. Its description in RNAcentral is "partial 16S ribosomal RNA". It matches the Rfam family "Bacterial small subunit ribosomal RNA", at positions 333 to 593 of the family's 1533-position model. The record is from RNAcentral.